This 54-nucleotide ribosomal RNA is filed under the name Sclerolaena cornishiana. RNAcentral's name for it is "partial 28S ribosomal RNA". The record is from RNAcentral. Lineage: Eukaryota; Viridiplantae; Streptophyta; Magnoliopsida; Caryophyllales; Amaranthaceae.
UGCGACCCCAGGUCAGGCGGGGCUACCCGCUGAGUUUAAGCAUAUCAAUAAACG